RNAcentral lists this ribosomal RNA (138 nucleotides) under uncultured bacterium. Its description in RNAcentral is "partial 16S ribosomal RNA". It matches the Rfam family "Bacterial small subunit ribosomal RNA", at positions 355 to 509 of the family's 1533-position model. The record is from RNAcentral.
UGGGGAAUAUUGCACAGUGGGGGGAAACCCUGAUGCAGCGACGCCGCGUGAGCGAUGAAGUAUUUCGGUAUGUAAAGCUCUAUCAGCAGGGAAGAAAAUGACGGUACCUGACUAAGAAGCCCCGGCUAACUACGUGCC